Molecule: ribosomal RNA, 681 nt
Filed under: Triticum aestivum (bread wheat)
Lineage: Eukaryota; Viridiplantae; Streptophyta; Magnoliopsida; Poales; Poaceae
Description: partial small subunit ribosomal RNA
Source: RNAcentral
AUGGGCAAGUCAGGGAGCAUUUUAUGUGGUGUGAGGAAAGAUACUUUUGAUAUUGUUUCCUGUAUUAAGGGCAGAUAUGUUCUGCAACUAGUGCUAUAUGACAAAAAGAAGAAAAUUCAGUGGGGUCUGCUGGUAGUUUAUGGAUCGGCACAUGAUGAAUUCAAAAAUGAAUUUCUAGUUGAGCUAGCAUCCUUUUGUAGUGGCAUGGUUGUACCCUACAUUAUGGGGGGAGACUUUAAUAUCCUGAGACAUUCGGGGGAAAAGAAUAAGAAGAUGGUGAACAAUAAAGCCACUGACUUGUUCAACUCCAUUAUCAAUACGCUAGCUCUUAGGGAAAUUCAUAUUAAUGGGGGGAAGUAUACCUGGACUAACAACCAGACCCAUCCCACGCUAGAAAAGCUUGACCGCAUCCUUAUGUCUGAAUGUUGGGAAGAUAUUUUCCCACUGGUCUCUGUGAGGAAAUUAGUCCGGGAGAUUUCUGAUCGUAACCCGCUUCUUCUGUCCUCCGGGGAAGAGGGGCGUGAAGUCCCGAAACCCCGCAAAUUUCGCUUUAAUCUGUCCUGGAUCAAUGAUGACAAGUUCCUACCCACUGUGAGGAAAAUUUGGGCUAGGAACGUGGCCUCAUCAGAUCCUAUUGAUGUCCUGAAUAUCAAGCUGAAAAGAUUUCAAAACAUAUUUUGA